CACAAGCGGUGGAUGAUGUGGUUUAAUUCGAUGCAACGCGAAAACCUUACCCACCUUUGACAUGUACGGAACCCUUUAGAGAUAGAGGGGUGCUCGAAAGAGAGCCGUAACACAGGUGCUGCAUGGCUGUCGUCAGCUCGUGUCGUGAGAUGUUGGGUUAAGUCCCGCAACGAGCGCAACCCUUGUCAUUAGUUGCUACAUUCAGUUGGGCACUCUAAUGAGACUGCCGGUGACAAGCCGGAGGAAGGUGGGGAUGACGUCAAGUCCUCAUGGCCCUUAUAGGUGGGGCUACACACGUCAUACAAUGGCUGGUACAAAGGGUUGCCAACCCGCGAGGGGGAGCCAAUCCCAUAAAGCCAGUCGUAGUCCGGAUCGUAGUCUGCAACUCGACUACGUGAAGUCGGAAUCGCUAGUAAUCGUGGAUCAGAAUGUCACGGUGAAUACGUUCCCGGGUCUU
This 457-nucleotide ribosomal RNA is filed under the name uncultured Rhodoferax sp. RNAcentral's name for it is "bacterial SSU rRNA". It matches the Rfam family "Bacterial small subunit ribosomal RNA", at positions 924 to 1382 of the family's 1533-position model. Lineage: Bacteria; Pseudomonadati; Pseudomonadota; Betaproteobacteria; Burkholderiales; Comamonadaceae. The record is from RNAcentral.